ACUUGUUCUCAGGGCGGGGUGAAAGUCCCUACUGGCGGUAUCCAGUUCACACUGGGAGCCCGCGAGCGCUCCUUAUUAUAUAGGAGGACAGCAGAUCUGGUGAAAAGCCAGGGCCAACGGUAUAGUCCGGAUGAAAGAGGAUAAGG
RNAcentral lists this non-coding RNA (146 nucleotides) under Desulforamulus reducens. RNAcentral describes it as "Desulfotomaculum reducens FMN sequence". It matches the Rfam family "FMN riboswitch aptamer (RFN element)". From Rfam's summary of the family: The RFN element is a highly conserved domain that is found frequently in the 5'-untranslated regions of prokaryotic mRNAs that encode for flavin mononucleotide (FMN) biosynthesis and transport proteins. This element is a metabolite-dependent riboswitch that directly binds FMN in the absence of proteins. The record is from RNAcentral. RNAcentral also lists the same sequence under 1 other name. Lineage: Bacteria; Bacillati; Bacillota; Clostridia; Eubacteriales; Peptococcaceae.